GACCUCAGAUCAGGUAGGGAUACCCGCUGAACUUAAGCAUAUCAAUA
Molecule: ribosomal RNA, 47 nt
Filed under: Terfezia alsheikhii
Lineage: Eukaryota; Fungi; Ascomycota; Pezizomycetes; Pezizales; Pezizaceae
Description: partial 28S ribosomal RNA
Source: RNAcentral